AUACGGAGGGUGCGAGCGUUAAUGGGAAUUACUGGGCGUAAAGCGUACGUAGGCGGUUGGUUAAGUUAGAUGUGAAAGCCCCGGGCUUAACCUGGGAACUGCAUUUAAAACUGGCGAACUAGAGUUGAGUAGAGGGGAGUGGAAUUUCAGGUGUAGCGGUGAAAUGCGUAGAGAUCUGAAGGAACACCAGUGGCGAAGGCGACUCCCUGGACUCGAACUGACGCUGAGGUACGAAAGCGUGGGUAGCAAACGGGAUUAGAAACCCUUGUAGUCC
This 274-nucleotide ribosomal RNA is filed under the name uncultured bacterium. Its description in RNAcentral is "partial 16S ribosomal RNA". It matches the Rfam family "Bacterial small subunit ribosomal RNA", at positions 523 to 796 of the family's 1533-position model. The record is from RNAcentral.